CAGAGGAUCUGCAAAAUCAAAAUGAUUUUCCUAAUAAUUCUAAAGUGUUAUUUUCCUUUUUCACAAUGCUGACUUGUGUAAAGUUGAUUCAAGAUCAAUGACAGACAAAGGACUGCUCUCUUACCAAAAUCAAGUGCCAGAGUCCCAGCUUCAAGCAUGACAGACAUGGUCUUGAAAAUCAAUGAGAAAAACCCUGAGACUCCAAUAAAUAAACCAAACAACAACAACAACACAGAGGACCUCAAGGAAGAAAAAAAAUUCUGUCAGAGGCUACAUGGAGGGGACUUCCUAGAGAUAUCCUGGGGCUGAGAAGGGCCUGCUUGUCAAUUACAGCUACAUGUGGUUAUCCAUCAACAUGUAACCCAAUGAAUGUGCGAGGUACGUAUUUAACUUCUGGGUCACCUUCUUGGUGCUGAAUUUACUCCUUCUCUUCUUAUGGACCUGGAAUAUGUUCAUGGCCACAAAAUAUUAGAAACUGUGUCAAUGAAGAUAACAUCAGAGAAGAUGAUGGAGCAACAAGUUAGAAAUCACGUGGAUUCUUAAAUGACCUUAUGAAGCAUUGUUCCCUCACUAAGCCUGGAUGGCUCACUGUAUUAUUAGGUAUUGUAGCUAAAUAACUUAGUCUCUCCUGUGAUUAACAUUUGUCCCUCAUGAAUAUAUAAUGUUUUAUGGUCUCAAAAUGCUCUUCAAUAAAUUACUCCAUUACAUUGGUUUUUAACA
Non-coding RNA from Ictidomys tridecemlineatus (thirteen-lined ground squirrel), 720 nucleotides. NCBI's taxonomy places the organism in Eukaryota, Metazoa, Chordata, Mammalia, Rodentia, Sciuridae. The record is from RefSeq and is a predicted model, not a curated record.